This 76-nucleotide transfer RNA is filed under the name Pseudactinobacillus ducreyi. Its description in RNAcentral is "[Haemophilus] ducreyi tRNA-Phe(gaa)". It matches the Rfam family "tRNA". Rfam says of the family: Transfer RNA (tRNA) molecules are approximately 80 nucleotides in length. The record is from RNAcentral. Lineage: Bacteria; Pseudomonadati; Pseudomonadota; Gammaproteobacteria; Pasteurellales; Pasteurellaceae.
GCCUCGAUAGCUCAGUCGGUAGAGCAGGGGAUUGAAAAUCCCCGUGUCGGUGGUUCGAUUCCGCUUCGAGGCACCA